RNA transcript from Cyanidioschyzon merolae strain 10D, 2002 nucleotides. RefSeq lists it as hypothetical. NCBI's taxonomy places the organism in Eukaryota, Rhodophyta, Bangiophyceae, Cyanidiales, Cyanidiaceae. The transcript has a single exon. The record is from RefSeq and is a predicted model, not a curated record.
ACAACCUACGCAGUCGCUGCCGCUAAUCGAAGCGACGUGAGUGCAACAUGUCGUACCAGAACUUCCACGAACCUUAGUAGACACCGGUGUAUCCUUAUGACUGACAUAUUCCGGAAUCAGCUUCCGUAGAUUCGCUUGAAUAGACGCGAAACUUCAAACCAAGUUCGCUCGCCCGCCGUCGCAAGCACCGCUCAAACCUUGACGGUGAGAGACCAAACACCCGGGACACAUGCUCCGCAAACGACUGUUCCGGUGGGCAUGACGCUCUCUGACGCAUUUCUGAUAGUCCUAGGCCCUGGGCUGUGAUCCGCCAGGGACAGCUGCCCCAGAGCGCCGUGGUGAGCCGUUGUCGAUCAACCGCUUUGAGGACUGCACGCACGCGCGGCUGCAUACGCGUCGCUGGCGGGAGUCGCCGCAUGCAGAGCACAAUCUCACGCCAAACCUUGUCAUCGUGCUGAUUAAGAUGCGGCAAGGAGUCCGCAAACCAGCCAUCAGAGACGCUUUGCUGAACAGAUGCUAUAUCGUCGGCGACCUCGCCUGUCGGUGCUGGGGCAUGAAUCCCCGUCGGUACGUUCUCGGCAAGCUCUAUCAGACCUGCAUCCACGUGUAGCGCAGUCGCUAGAACCGUAUCAAGCGCGGCUUCAAGUUCCGUUCGCGGAGACCAGUCCCGUACCUGACGCUGUAUGCACGCUUCGGUAGCCGCACCGGUUGUCGCCGAUGACUGUGGGGAGCCCUCCGAGCAGCGUGCCGCCCAACGAUCGCGGAGCCAGCGCACGAGCGCUUCGGGUUGCUCAAUCGGGAUGUCUAUUGCCAGACGACGUUCAGGUGCAGACCCGCUGCGAAUAUCUUCCGGAGCAAUAUCCCAACUGACCAAGGUACGCUCGUCGCCGAGCUUCGCUACAAGUUGAUGGGCUCUCGCCACCAGCCUGGGUCGAUGCGUUCGAUACUCAUGGUCUUUGCAAUGAAUGUACGGCAGGAGCAGCUCACGCAGACGGCUCAUCAGGCCUCGUUGCAACUGAUCCAGAAAACACAAUGAAUGAUAGGCGUUCAGGCUGGGAUCAGACGUUUCCGCUCUCGCCUCGACAAUGCCCAGGAAGACCGCAGCCGUGAGGGUGCUCGCACCAAUCCGAAGUUUCACCGCUCCAGAGCCGUUCGCAAACGCACGUGUCACGUACUGGUGAUGUCGGGCGAAACGACUCGUGAGAAGUGCAUGGAUCCAGUGACUGACAUAGCGGAGCGCUACGGACCCUGCGGUCUGUCCUACAAGGUAGGCGAUGGCCUCACCGAUAGCACCAAAUACGAUGCUGAGGUUCAUCAGCUCCGUGGUGUCAGGGCUCUGCAGGUCCGCAGCAAUCGCUACACCGAGUCGCCGUCGAUCCCAGAGCCGAGCGCGUCGACGCGGGCUCGCCAGCUCCGGCGCUUCCUUUCGCUGUUUUCGUUGGGCGACUCGUGCCCUGUCAAUCAGACUCUGACGGGUAAAAUGAACACCUGAGUCGAAGACGUCGAUGCCGGUUGUUUCGUAGCUUUGUUGAACGGCAUUGCAAACAGCACAAACAGGACGACCCUCGUCGUUCCAACGGAACCGACGAGCACCACACGACCCACACGAAUAAAUCAUUCCAGAAGGCGGAAAGAGACCCCGCAGACGAGACACCCGCCGCAAGUGCAAAGCGCUCCGGCUCGAGGAACGCACCUCGCUGGCGAAACCAGAGAGACAGUAGUGUCCGACCCCGGUGUCAAGCUUGGGCGCCUAUGUUCAAUACUAGAGGCUAUGCACGACAAAAUUCUGGCAUCGAGCACUUUUCAUCCGAUGUUUCCGAACGACUUCAUCUAGGGACCUUUGUAAGCCACCCGUGGCACAACGCUGGAAACAAAGAACGACGCUGGAAUCGUACGUUUGCCGCCGUGGCGCUAGACGAGCGCCUAUCGAGCUGCACCUCGACGCCUGAGUUGUCAAAAGGCUUUCCAUCACGCGACUUUCAUCGCAUAAAAGCAACCCAAG